GUGAAUCAUCGAAUUUUUGAACGCAAAUCGCACUCUCCUCGGAGAGUAUGCCUGUUUGAGGGUCAGUAUUAAUAAAAUCGGUGUUGCUUUUUUGUGACGUUCCGGAGAUUGGGCUACCUUUAACUUUCGGGUUUAAGAGGCUUAAAAUUGAUCUUACUUGCGCAUUUUUAGACGUACAUAAAUUUUUUUUUUAUUCGUCUAUUCUUAUUGCCAAAUUCUUAUUAGAGGCGAUC
Molecule: unclassified non-coding RNA, 233 nt
Filed under: Glomeraceae sp.
Lineage: Eukaryota; Fungi; Glomeromycota; Glomeromycetes; Glomerales; Glomeraceae
Description: partial contains 5.8S ribosomal RNA and internal transcribed spacer 2
Rfam family: 5.8S ribosomal RNA (bases 1-65)
Source: RNAcentral